UAAGACAAAAGGGGAUUAGGUUUAGAAGUUGUGACCAUUGGAGUCGUUGAACGAAUCUUCUUCCUCUUCUCUCAAAACGGCGACGGCGGUGGCCUUGAUUCUCCCCGUCUCCGAUCAAAAACCACGAACAACAACGCAGGCAACACCGAGAGCACAUCAUCUUCGCCUCAAUUUCCUCCAACCUCGUCUCUCCGUCUCGAAUCUCUACGUUUUUCUGAAACUCCGAAGACUGGUCCGGUUCGAGUUUGAUGAAGACGAAGAACAAACGUUCUUCUUCUUCUAUUCUGAAUCGCGAGCUUAUGCGUUCUCGGUUGUGAACACGUUGAUGUGUUGUUGUUGUUUCGUGUUGAUGAAGAGAAUUCGGAUGCGCUGCGAGAUUGAUGAUGAUUAUUGCGUCAUGAAGAACAUGUAAUGGAGACUGCAAAGAGAAUGUGUAGAGAAGUGAAGAUUCAAUGUUGACAAUUCGAGAUCGAAGAAAACGGUUAUCGCGAAGAGAAAUCGAAGAUGCCGUAAGGAAAUAUGCAGUGCGGUUCCAAGAGAGAACAGAGAGAAUUCUUGAGAUUGAAGGUUGGAGGAUCUUGCGAUGAUUGGAGAAGAUUGAAGAGAUGGUGGUGAUGAUGAACCGCGAUGGUGAUGAUUAUGCAGGUAGCAUUUUUGGAUGAAGAUGUGAAGAUUCUCGGCUGAGUCUCAUGAAGGUCGAUGAUGAGAGGGAAGAGAAAGAUGCGGUUAUCGUUAUUCAAUUUCUUUUUUCAAAGAAGUCUCUUUUCAGAUUCUGUUUCAAUUUUCUGCAGAAUUGAAGAUGGGAGAAUGAUUGGUGAAGAAGAUGGAUGAGAAUUGAAGAUUAGAUUGGUCAAGAUAGUGAUUCAGAGAUGAUGUUGAUUUAACUCGGUUUAGAGAGAAAGGGAGCAUUGAAUCGGGAGGGUUAUGCAGGGGUCAGACUUAAUACCGUUUCGGUUCGGUUUUUGUGUAGGGUUGGCUUGAUUUUGAGUUAUGUUGAAGAAUGGAUCGUUUUUUUUCAGCCUGAAGGAUGAUGUUUAGCCAUUAUGACCAGUAGGCUAAGGCUAUCUUUUUGUGUAAUUUUUGUAAUGAAUGUAUUGUGAUUGUAAUGGACUGGACUUUGUAAUUUGAACUUUUGUAAUUUCGUAUGAAAUUGGUUUUGGAUUUUGGAUAA
Vicia villosa (hairy vetch) is the source of this 1171-nucleotide long non-coding RNA. RefSeq lists it as uncharacterized. The record is from RefSeq and is a predicted model, not a curated record. The transcript has 2 exons. NCBI's taxonomy places the organism in Eukaryota, Viridiplantae, Streptophyta, Magnoliopsida, Fabales, Fabaceae.